AAUGAAAAUAUGUACCAGAGAAAAAUUCUUCGGAAUUGGAGGUGAUAUAAAACAAGCCUUUCUUACUGUGUUUGUAGACUUAUGUAUUUGAAUAUGUUUCUGAACUAAUGACUUGUACAAUAACAGAAAUUUUUGGAAGACAGGAAAUGUCAGUGAAGGGCCGUGGACAAUCCAAACUGCAAAACACAAUCUGCAGCAGGACGGCUCUAGUUGUGGAGUCUUAAUUUUGAUGUUUGCAGAGCUCAUUCUCCAAGGUAGAAGUAUCUGCGUUGCUCAAACAGACACAGAGGAGGUCUCAGCCGCAAGAGUCAAAAUUGCAACCACUCUUCUGGAAUGCAAAGUUUUUCAUUUAAGAUGGUGUGGAAGAUCUCUGUGUUUCCUGCAACAUGUUGCUGUUUGAUGCUGAGGAGGAUUUCACAGAGAUGGUGCAGUGUCAAGAUGGACGCACAAGGAGUGUACCCCUGCAACCCUUGCCUCAGAGCA
Long non-coding RNA from Perca flavescens (yellow perch), 483 nucleotides. RefSeq lists it as uncharacterized. The record is from RefSeq and is a predicted model, not a curated record. Lineage: Eukaryota; Metazoa; Chordata; Actinopteri; Perciformes; Percidae. The transcript is spliced from 4 exons.